GCGGACCGGCGGACCGGCGGACGGGCGGACGGGCGGACGGCUCCGACCGCCGGCGCAGACCACGCCUCCUCCCCGCCCACGCUGGGGCUUCCUGUUGACAUGGCCGCUGCCUGGCGUCCUCGAAUUCCGAGGCAGAAAAAAAAAGGGAAAGUCAGUCAGCCGGACGCGCACACAGAUCCCCUCCCUGUUGGGUCACCGCAGAGCCCUGAGUAGGGUGGCCCCUGUUAUCCGGUGGAUUCCUUAUGGCUGAGUGACCAGAGAAUGCCUAGAGUUACCAUCAAUUCAGUUCAAUCACAGUUGUGUCCGACUCUUUGCGACCCCAUGAACCCCAGCAGGCCAGGCCUCUCCAUCCAUCACCAACUCCCAGAAUUUACUCAAACUCAUGUCCAUCGAGUCAGUGAUGCCAUCCAGCCAUCUCAUCCUCUGUCGUCCCCUUCUCCUCCUGCCCUCAAUCUUUCCCAGCAUCAAGGUCUUUUGCAAUGAGUCAGCUCUUCUCAUGAGGUGGCCAAAGUAUUGGAGUUUCAGCUUCAGCAUCAGUCCUUCCAAUGAACACCCAGGACUGAUCUCCUUCAGGACUGGUUGGAUCUCUUUGCAGUCCAAGGGACUCUCAAGAGUCUUCUCCAACACCAUAGUUCAAAAGCAUCAAUUUUUCAGCACUCAGCUUUCUUCACAGUCCAACUUUCACAUCCAUACAUGACCACUGGAACAACCGUAGCCUUGACUAGAUGGACCUUUGUUGGCAAAGUAAUGUCUCUGCUUUUUAAUAUGCUAUCUAGGUUGUCAUAACUUUCCUUCCAGGUUACCAUAUGGCCCAGCAAUUCCACUCCUCAGCAUGUACCUGGCAGAAAUGAAAAUAUAUUUCCACACAAAAACACAUACACAAAUGUUCAUUCAGGUAUUGUUCAUAAUGACCAAAAAGUCAAAACAACCGAAAUACCCAUCAAGUAAAGUGUGGUAUAGCCAUACAAUGGAAUAUUAUUUGGCAAUUUUUUAAUAAUGAAGUAUUAAUACAUGGCUUCCCUGGUAGCUCAACUGGUAAAGAAUCUGCCUGCAAUGCAGAAGACCCCAGUUCGAUCCCUGGAGGAGGAAGGCAUGGCAACCCACUCCAGUAUUCUUGCCUGGAGAAUCCUCAUGGACAGAGGAGCCUGGCGGGCUGCAGGCCAUGCACUUGCAAAGAGUCAGGCUCAACUGAGCAACUAAGCACAACGGUACCUGGUACAAGAAGCUGGUUGUUUAAAGCAUUAAGAAUGAAAGCUGCUGUUUACUACUUGGAAGAAGUCAGUAAGGAAGAAUCACAAGGGAUAUGCGUCCAUUCACUUAAAAUGUCCAGAAGAGGCAAAUCGGUAGAAACAAAAUAUAUCAGUGGUUGCCUAGGGCUGUGGGGCAGAGGAGGUAAAAAGGGAAAUAAUUGCUAAUGGGUAUGAGAGUUUUUUCAGGGUGAUGAAAUGUUCUAAAAUGGGUUGCAGUGUUACUUUUCUGGAUUUUGUAACUUUGUAGCAUUUGCCAUCUUUUUAAAUUUUGUAAUCUGUUGUGAUUUGUUCUCAUUCUAAAUAGUCUCUUCUGUAAAAUGAAUUUCAUCUGCAGAAUCAGAAAAAAUAAAAAUUAAAGUAAAACUGAUCACUAUGUUGUAUAACAGGAAGAAAUAUACUGCUGCAGGUUGAUCAUACUUCAAAACCAGUCAGUGACCCAAAUAAACAAAAGAA
Molecule: long non-coding RNA, 1703 nt
Organism: Dama dama (fallow deer)
Lineage: Eukaryota; Metazoa; Chordata; Mammalia; Artiodactyla; Cervidae
Exons: 3
Source: RefSeq, a predicted model, not a curated record